This 457-nucleotide ribosomal RNA is filed under the name uncultured organism. RNAcentral's name for it is "partial 16S ribosomal RNA". It matches the Rfam family "Bacterial small subunit ribosomal RNA", at positions 331 to 805 of the family's 1533-position model. The record is from RNAcentral.
GUACACUCCUACGGAAGGCAGCAGUGGGGAAUUUUACGCAAUGGGGGAAACCCUGACGUAGCGACACCGCGUGAGCGAAGAAGCCCUUUGGGGUGUAAAGCUCUGUCAGCUGGAACGAAAACAAUGACGGUACCAGCAGAGGACGCAUCGGCUAACUACGUGCCAGCAGCCGCGGUAAGACGUAGGAUGCGAGCGUUGUCCGGAUUUAUUGGGCGUAAAGAGUUCGUAGAUGGUUUGUUAAGUUUGGUGUUAAAGAUCGGGGCUCAACCCUGGGACUGCACUGAAUACUGGCAGACUCGAGUGUGGUAGAGGCUAGUGGAAUUCCCAGUGUAGCGGUGAAAUGCGUAGAUAUUGGGAAGAACACCGGUGGCGUAGGCGACUAGCUGGGCCAUAACUGACGCUGAGGAACGAAAGCCAGGGGAGCGAAUGGGAUUAGAAACCCUAGUAGUCCCAUGAU